CUGCUGUCCAGGAGACUAGAUUUGGAUCCAGCAUGGCGCGGAAGAUCGCGAUCGCGGGGCUAAGAUGGCCGAAUUGGAUGUAGCUCGUGAGGAUGGUAUUUCAGGACACUGCGUUGCUCUCACUCGCCAUGGAGAGGAGGAUCUUUGCCUUGGGAAAAAUCCCAAUCAUUGAUGUGUAUGUCCAGAUUGUGGAUGUUCAGAGGUGUGGCGGAUCUUCUCCCAAAUCGCAGUGAAACCGAUCUUAGCGAUGGCCAAUGGGGAUAUGUUGAGUUCACAUCUCUCGAAGCUUUCCACAAGGCAAACCGGUGGCUAAACCAGAGGGGAAAAACUGAGAAGAAGAUCCGCAGCUUGGAAGAGGAAAAGCGCGAGGAAACAGAAGAGGAGAAGCACGAGGAAAAGUCUUGGAGUGUUAGCGCGCUCCAGAUUCUGAUCAGAUUCACUGAGCAGCUUUACGAGGAGCUCAACGGCAAAUCCAGCGACCGAGAGAGGAUCAAGCGAGCGCAGAAGAUGAUGUGGCUCCAGAAAAUGCUGUAUAGGAUCUCGAGUGAGAGGAAACCGUGGAAGGAGCUUCAGUCCGGCGAGGUGGUCUUCGUGAAGGAGGCAAAAGAACUAUAUGAUCGUGCAGGGAGAGAUUUUGUUGCCGAAUUCAAGAGGAGACAGAGAGCUGGAGUGAACGAUGAGUGUUUGUUUUGUCGGAACCAUGAUGGCAAGAAGAUGAUCGGCCGGGCUGGAGCGAACUCUAAGACGACUAGACCCUAGGUUUACCUGAGAAGAGAACACGAGCAAACUGUUCUAAGCACGUCGAAGAAACGAGAAAUGAAGCUGGCUCCUAGCUCGAGAAGUUGGCUGCAAGGAUUGGUCAACUGGAGGCCAGUGCUCGGACUCUAACAUCGGAGAAGCCAACUCUCAAGAGUCAAAUCCAGAAGUUGGAUCCGGUAAGGCUGUCCAUGAUAGUAGUGAGGAACGACGUAAACCAGUGCCAGAUGGCUGCAAGAUGGCGAGAAGACAAUAUAGCUGAAGCUGCUUGUGACCGGGGUUUCAGAUGGCUGCGGAGACUAUAAGACAGACUAUGCUAGACGUUCUCUCUCAUCUGGUGGAAUGAGGGAAGUGUUCGGACAGGAGCCCCAGGGGAUAAUGGCUGAUGGAGUCAAAUCCGCUGCACGAGGUGGAGCUCUUGGCCAGGAGCACGUCGAGAAGAGGAUGGCAGAGUUUGGAAGCGAAAGGCAAGCCUGGAGAAGCAAGUAACUGGCAGCUGAUGGAGAGGAUCACGGGGCUCGAGGCGCUCGAGGAGAGAGAGACGUGCCUGAUGCAAAGGAAAGCUUUGGGAGACUGAACAAGGAGCUUGCUUGAUGUUUUUUUUUUUUUUUCUUCUCUAGAUUGGAGCUCACUCGAUGCAUUGCAGAUCCUUCAUGCUUGCAAACUUGUAACAAUCGACCUGAAGAGACCAAGUGCCAGAGACAUUUUUGAGAACAAGGUGGGAAUUUAACGAUUGUGCAGUGAGCCGCAAGACAAGGUACAUUUCCCAGUCCCACCACCCUGGGGCUCUUGGGUGGUGGGAAUACUAA
RNA transcript from Selaginella moellendorffii, 1565 nucleotides. RefSeq lists it as uncharacterized. The transcript is spliced from 3 exons. Lineage: Eukaryota; Viridiplantae; Streptophyta; Lycopodiopsida; Selaginellales; Selaginellaceae. The record is from RefSeq and is a predicted model, not a curated record.